CUUACUAUUACUAGCGAUUAACAUGACGAAACAACACGAACUAAGCUAACAUUAGACUAUAAAGCAAACACUUUUGGCGGGUAAAGGGUUAACUGACUUCAAAAAGUAAACACUGUCAAUGGUGAAAUUGUCCAGAUCAUUAGAUUAACAUUAAUCUUUACUCUUUUUCUCGAACAUCUUAUAGAUCCACCCUGGGUACCGUCGUAUUUUAAAAUAAUAAAUACAAGCAAUGGAUACAUUUCUGGAUUUGUCCAGACUCAAAAAGAAUUGGAGAGUCUGCUGGAGGUCCACUCAAGGGCCACACUGACAUCGUUUGUCAAAUGGUCUGAACACAUAAAAGAUGGCACCAAAGAGAGGCAUCUAUGGCAGGUGGAGGAUUUCAAUGAAGACACCCCUCUAUGUGUAAAGAAAAGAAUGGUCCUUGCUUGUCAGCAUGGCAAAGCUCGACAGAAAAAAGAAAAGGUACGUAAACAGUAUAGUAAACAAACCCUCCUGUCUGGACCCUCAAAUCAGAGAAACUUUGGUCUGUGGGUCCUGUAGACUUAUAAUUGAACACCCCUGAUCUAAAGUAACACACACUCACACACCCCUGUUACUUUAGAUCAGCGGUGUUCAAUUAUAAGUCUACAGGGUCCACCGACCAAAGUUUCUCUGAUUCGAGGGUCCAGACAGGCACAGGUCAACUGUUCAAAUUACAUGAAAAACAGAAUUACAUAACAUUUUGUGGAUUUAAUAAUUUUUUGCUGCAAUGUCUUCAGUUUUAAUGGAUGUCAAAUAGGUGCAGGCCUAUGCAAAAUCUACACCUGACUUGUCUUGCACUUGUACAACUUGAAAACCGACAUUGUAUUGAAAUCUCAUUAUUUAUCUUGUCUAGGAGAAACGUUCAGCAGAGCAUGUAUACACAAAAAAACGUUUUCAUGUCCAAAAUGGGAAGAAGUUGGACUGCCCAGCUAAACUUUUCAUUCGGCAUGUGCUGAGGUAAGCUUUUUUCAACCGCUCUGUCUCCUUUGCAGGAGAAAUCCAGUGUGAAUCGAUCAAUAGUGAAAGUGAUCUGAUUGAUCAAUAUUGUCAAUCAGACCAUGGGGUAGAUUAAUUUUUGCUUGCUUGUUUGUUUUGCUUUUUAGAUAUGACUCAUUCAGUGUGAGAGGGGAUGCCACAA
RNAcentral lists this long non-coding RNA (1159 nucleotides) under Gadus morhua (Atlantic cod). RNAcentral describes it as "lncRNA (ENSGMOG00000032253.1)". Lineage: Eukaryota; Metazoa; Chordata; Actinopteri; Gadiformes; Gadidae. The record is from RNAcentral.